Molecule: ribosomal RNA, 1396 nt
Filed under: metagenome
Description: bacterial LSU rRNA
Rfam family: Bacterial large subunit ribosomal RNA
Source: RNAcentral
GCCGAUAGGCAUAGUCGAUGGACAACAGGUUAAUAUUCCUGUACCAGUUAAGGAGGACGGAGAGAUGUGGUAGCUACGUGCGGACGGAAGUGCACGUUGAGCCUAGUCUUCGGACAAAGCGAAGCUAUAAAGUCUCUUCCUAGAAAAGCCCUUAACAUUAAGCCCGUACCGCAAACCGACACAGGCAGCCGGGAUGAAGAUUCUAAGGAGCUCGAGUGAUUCACGGUUAAGGAACUCGGCAAAUUAACCCUGUAACUUCGGGAAAAGGGGUGCCCCAGAAAUGGGGCCGCAGUGAAAUGGCUCAGGCGACUGUUUAACAAAAACACAUGGCUAUGCUAAAUCGAAAGAUGAUGUAUAUGGCCUGACACCUGCCCGGUGCUGGAAGGUUAAGAGGGGAUGUUAGCGCAAGCGAAGCAUUGAAUCGAAGCCCCAGUAAACGGCGGCCGUAACAAUAACGGUCCUAAGGUAGCGAAAUUCCUUGUCGGGUAAGUUCCGACCUGCACGAAUGGUGUAACGAUCUGAGCACUGUCUCAACCGUGAGCUCGGUGAAAUUGUGGUCUCGGUGAAGACGCCGGGUACUCGCAUCGGGACGGAAAGACCCCGUGCACCUUUACUAUAGCUUUACAUUGAGUUUGGGUAAAUAAUGUGUAGGAUAGGUGGGAGACUUUGAAGCAGUGUCGCUAGGCAUUGUGGAGUCAACCUUGAAAUACCACCCUUUAUUUACUUGGAUUCUAACCCUUUUAAGGGAACAGUGUAUGGUGGGUAGUUUGACUGGGGUGGUCGCCUCCAAAAAAGUAUCGGAGGCUUCCAAAGGUCUGCUCAGCACGCUUGGUAACCGUGCGUAGAGUGCAAUAGCAUAAGCAGGCUUAACUGUAAGGCUAACAAGCCGAGCAGAGACGAAAGUCGGGUAUAGUGAUCCGGUGGUUCUGUAUGGAAGGGCCAUCGCUCAUAGGAUAAAAGGUACGCCGGGAUAACAGGCUGAUCUCCCCCAAGAGCUCACAUCGACGGGGAGGUUUGGCACCUCGAUGUCGGCUCGUCACAUCCUGGGGCUGGAGAAGGUCCCAAGGGUUCGGCUGUUCGCCGAUUAAAGUGGCACGCGAGCUGGGUUCAGAACGUCGUGAGACAGUUCGGUCCCUAUCUGAUGCGAGCGUUAGAAGUUUGAGAGGAUCUGACCUUAGUACGAGAGGACCGGGUCGGACGUACCUCUGGUGUAUCUGUUGUGGCGCCAGCUGCAUUGCAGAGUAGCUAUGUACGGACAAGAUAAGCGCUGAAAGCAUCUAAGCGCGAAACUUACCUCGAGAUGAGACUUCUUUAUAAGGGUCGUAGAAGAUGACUACGUUGAUAGGCUGUAGAUGUAAGAUGGUAACAUCAAAGUCAAGCAGUACUAAUUACCCGA